CAAUUAUUGGAUGGCUGCUUUGGGGGAAUGGCUCCAGGAAACCAGCAAGAAGAUGGGAGCGGAGCUCUUCCUCGUGGCGUGUCAAGCUCUGUUGUCCUGUAAUGCCCCUUCAUCAGACCUAAUCUCCUCUUGGGAGACAAGCCAGGCCUCUGACCUCAGGAGAGCUCUAAAGUACUUACGGUAAAAGAAAAUCCAUUACUUAGCUGAAGAAUUUCACCUUCUGUUCUAUUUUUUUUCCCUGCAUUUUCUUCAAGAAUUCUAAUUUC
Molecule: long non-coding RNA, 266 nt
Organism: Sarcophilus harrisii (Tasmanian devil)
Lineage: Eukaryota; Metazoa; Chordata; Mammalia; Dasyuromorphia; Dasyuridae
Exons: 4
Source: RefSeq, a predicted model, not a curated record